UGACGACGCCGUUCUUAGUGCCUUUUUCGGGCUUGUUUUGCUUAUAUUCUUGAAGCAGCAGUACGACAACAACCUUGUUCUGCUAAUGCUUCGUCCGUUGAGGAGGAGAAGGGAGGUAGAAGGUCGAAGAAGGGAGAUAGAAGACCGUGCUGUGGUGAAUGGAAACCGGUAGAAACAGCCUCUAACAGAAAUGUGUUGGUGUGUUGUUGUGAGACUCUUGCUGUGUUGAAGGAAACACUGAUCAUCCCACUGCAGCAGCACUGGAGACAGUCUGAUGGAG
Epinephelus moara (kelp grouper) is the source of this 280-nucleotide long non-coding RNA. RefSeq lists it as uncharacterized. The transcript has 3 exons. The record is from RefSeq and is a predicted model, not a curated record. NCBI's taxonomy places the organism in Eukaryota, Metazoa, Chordata, Actinopteri, Perciformes, Serranidae.